Long non-coding RNA from Daucus carota subsp. sativus, 911 nucleotides. RefSeq lists it as uncharacterized. Lineage: Eukaryota; Viridiplantae; Streptophyta; Magnoliopsida; Apiales; Apiaceae. The transcript is spliced from 2 exons. The record is from RefSeq and is a predicted model, not a curated record.
CUAGAUAACAAAUGCACAAGAAUAUUAUAUGCUCAAUUGUCAAAUCAUUGUGAGCUUCCCUCCCUAUAUAUGUGAGGAUCAUCAAACAUCAAGAGUUAAUCAGGAAAAAUAAGACUUUAGAAGCAGCCACUUCAGUUCAAAUGGCUGAAGUUCUAGUGACAAAAAUAACUACUGAUAAAAAAGUAGUAGCAAAGUUUGACAGGAAAGAAGCUCAUAUCAAAACACUAGAUGAUCUUGUUAAUGUGAAUUCACUAUUCACCUUAGCUGUGUUUGUUGGCCUAUCUCAGGCUUCACCAGGCAUUCGCAGCCUAGAGAAUCGCGGCGACUGUAAUGCUGGUCCAGGAGUAGCUAAAAUGCUCGUCCUCUACGAAGUGGUGGCCUUUGCUUGUUUUCUUUUAUCAAGCCUUGUUGCCAAAGUACUUAAGCUAGUUCUAAGUAUGGAUGGCAUAAGAUUUAAGUUUGUUCACUCGGGAUUCGAUUUAAAGGACUUCCUGUUGGUCUUAGCAGCAGGUGCAUCUGUUUCUGGAAUUAUUCUGCUUACGCUUUCGGUGGUUAAUUUAGUUCAAAUUCGAAUAGGUCUGUACUCUUGUGGGAGUGCGGAAGCAAGGAGAGCGAUUUGGGCUCUUUGUACAAUUGUUGCCAUUGCUUUGAUAAUUUAUGUUGUGUCCAUCAGUUUUGCUAUCUAUGCUUCUAUUACUGGUGACCCGUCAGAAGAGAACACGGAUGAAAUGGUUUAAUCAAAUUGGGCCAGCUACUUAGUUUUGUUCCUGUAGACAAAUUUGUUGAGUACUUGAAAUAUUGGUGUACUGUUUAUUUUUGUCCCCAUACAAAUUUGUUGAACUUUUGAGUUAUGUUUUCUGUAUUGACUUGAAAUGGAAUCUUUCCAGAGGAAAGUUGAGUUUGGAUGUUAA